This 447-nucleotide ribosomal RNA is filed under the name uncultured bacterium. RNAcentral's name for it is "bacterial SSU rRNA". It matches the Rfam family "Bacterial small subunit ribosomal RNA", at positions 355 to 825 of the family's 1533-position model. The record is from RNAcentral.
UCGGGAAUUUUGGGCAAUGGGCGAAAGCCUGAUCCAGCAAUGCCGCGUGAGUGAUGAAGGCCUUAGGGUCGUAAAGCUCUUUUACCCGGGAUGAUAAUGACAGUACCGGGAGAAUAAGCUCCGGCUAACUCCGUGCCAGCAGCCGCGGUAAUACGGAGGGAGCUAGCGUUGUUCGGAAUUACUGGGCGUAAAGCGUACGUAGGCGGUUAUUCAAGUCAGAGGUGAAAGCCCGGGGCUCAACCCCGGAACUGCCUUUGAAACUAGAUAGCUAGAAUCUUGGAGAGGUCAGUGGAAUUCCGAGUGUAGAGGUGAAAUUCGUAGAUAUUCGGAAGAACACCAGUGGCGAAGGCGACUGACUGGACAAGUAUUGACGCUGAGGUACGAAAGCGUGGGGAGCAAACAGGAUUAGAUACCCCGGUAGUCCCUGAGCGGGCUGGCAAGGCGCAU